AGUGAACGCUGGCGGUAGGCCUAACACAUGCAAGUCGAACGGCAGCACAGUAAGAGCUUGCUCUUACGGGUGGCGAGUGGCGGACGGGUGAGGAAUACAUCGGAAUCUACUUUUUCGUGGGGGAUAACGUAGGGAAACUUACGCUAAUACCGCAUACGACCUACGGGUGAAAGCAGGGGAUCUUCGGACCUUGCGCGAUUGAAUGAGCCGAUGUCGGAUUAGCUAGUUGGCGGGGUAUAGGCCCACCAAGGCGACGAUCCGUAGCUGGUCUGAGGGGAUGAUCAGCCACACUGGAACUGAGACACGGUCCAGACUCCUACGGGAGGCAGCAGUGGGGAAUAUUGGACAAUGGGCGCAAGCCUGAUCCAGCCAUACCGCGUGGGUGAAGAAGGCCUUCGGGUUGUAAAGCCCUUUUGUUGGGAAAGAAAAGCAGCAGGUUAAUACCCCGCUGUUCUGACGGUACCCAAAGAAUAAGCACCGGCUAACUUCGUG
This 492-nucleotide ribosomal RNA is filed under the name uncultured bacterium. RNAcentral's name for it is "partial 16S ribosomal RNA". It matches the Rfam family "Bacterial small subunit ribosomal RNA", at positions 29 to 507 of the family's 1533-position model. The record is from RNAcentral.